RNAcentral lists this non-coding RNA (2052 nucleotides) under Elephantulus rupestris (western rock elephant shrew). Its description in RNAcentral is "partial contains 12S ribosomal RNA, tRNA-Val (trnV), and 16S ribosomal RNA". The stretch from base 1054 to 2052 matches the Rfam family "Bacterial large subunit ribosomal RNA", at positions 1 to 2105 of the family's 2925-position model. The record is from RNAcentral. Lineage: Eukaryota; Metazoa; Chordata; Mammalia; Macroscelidea; Macroscelididae.
CAUGCAAGUAUCUGCCAACCAGUGAAAAUGCCCUUCUACUCGCUCGCACAAGCGAUCCCAAAGGAGCUGGUAUCAAGCACACUUUAAGUAGCUCAAAACACCUUGCCAAGCCACACCCCCACGGGAUACAGCAGUAAUAAAAAUUAAGCAAUAAACGAAAGUUUGACUAAGCCAUGCUGACAAAGGGUUGGUCAAUCUCGUGCCAGCCACCGCGGUCAUACGAUUAACCCUAAUUAAUGAUUAAACGGCGUAAAGUGUGGUUAAAACAAGUAUAAUAAUGAAGUUAAACUAGUUCUCAGCUGUAAAAAGCUAAAGGUCUAAGGUUAUUAAACAACUAACGUAAUUUCACUAUAAAUGAACCCACGAUAGCUAAGACACAAACUGGGAUUAGAUACCCCACUAUGCUUAGCCGUAAACUCUUGAUAAUUAGUAACAAAAAUAUCCGCCAGAGAACUACAAGCCAAUGCUUAAAACUCAAAGGACUUGGCGGUGCUUUAUACCCCCUAGAGGAGCCUGUUACAUAAUCGAUAUACCCCGAUAAACCCCACCAUCACUUGCUAAAUCAGUCUAUAUACCGCCAUCUUCAGCAAACCCUUAAAAGGAACUAUAGUAAGCUUAAACGUACUCACAAAAACGUUAGGUCAAGGUGUAACCUAUGUGAUGGACCAUAAUGGGCUACAUUUUCUUUUCCAGACCACCCACGGACUCUCAAAUGAAAUUAAUGAGAUAAAGGAGGAUUUAGUAGUAAGUCAGGAGUAGAGAGCCUGACUGAAUCUGGCUAUGAAGCACGCACACACCGCCCGUCACCCUCCUCAAGUAUUUUAGACCCAUAAUCAUAUUUAUAUAUAACAAAUAUGAGAGGAGACAAGUCGUAACAAGGUAAGCAUACUGGAAAGUGUGCUUGGAAUAUCCAAAGUGUAGCUUAAAUUAAAGCACCUGGCCUACACCCAGGAGAUUCCACCACCAUGGCCACUUUGAACUAGACCUAGCCCUAGCACAAACAAACUUAACAACACACCAACAUGAAACAAAACAUUUAAUCAGUAAAGUAUAGGAGAUAGAAAUACCACCCUAGAAGCUAUAGAAUAAGUACCGUAAGGGAAAGAUGAAAGAUACCUUAUAGUGAAGAACAGCAGAGACUAACCCUCAUACCUUUUGCAUAAUGAAUUAACCAGAAAUCCUUUGACGAAGUGAUCUUAAGCCAAAAACCCCGAAACCAGACGAGCUACUUAUGAACAAUUUGUCAGAAUGAACUCCUCUAUGUGGCAAAAUAGUGAGAUGAUUUAUAAGUAGAGGUGAAAAGCCAACCGAGCCUGGAGAUAGCUGGUUGUCCAAAAAACGAAUUUAAGUUCAACUUAAAGCCCUGCCUAAAAAGACUACCGAACUAAACUGCAGGCUUUAAUGUAAUUCAAUAGAGGUACAGCUCUAUUGAACUAGGAUACAACCUGGGAAGGAGAGUAAAUAUGAUAACUCACAUAGUUGGCCUAAAAGCAGCCAUCAAUUAAGAAAGCGUUAAAGCUCAACCUCUAAACCAUCAUUCAAUCCCAAGAACAAGUGAUAAACUCCCUUUUUCGUAUUGGACUACUCUAUUUUUAAAUAGAUGAAAUACUGUUAAUAUGAGUAACAAGAAUUCAUUCUCCGCGCGUAUGUUUAUAUCAGAACGGAUGCCCACUGAUAAUUAACGACCUAGUACUAAUACUCCACACAUAAAUAAUUUACUUAACAAACUCGUUAGCCCGACACAGGAACGCAGCCCGGAAAGAUUAAAAGAAGAAGAAGGAACUCGGCAAACAUGAACUCCGCCUGUUUACCAAAAACAUCACCUCUAGCAUUACUAGUAUUAGAGGCACUGCCUGCCCAGUGACAUUAGUUAAACGGCCGCGGUACUCUGACCGUGCAAAGGUAGCAUAAUCAUUUGUUCUUUAAUUAAGGACUAGAAUGAACGGCAAGACGAGAUUUCAACUGUCUCCUUCCUCUAAUCAGUGAAAUUGACCUCCCCGUGAAGAGGCGGGGAUAAACCUAUAAGACGAGAAGACCCUAUGGAGCUUUAAU